GGGUCAGUAGGUUGGUCAUGCCACUGGUAUGUACUGGUCUCACUGAUUCCUCCUUCCUGAUGAGCUGUAAUGCCAUUAAUUUGGUGUUGCGGGGAAUCCGGACUGUUACUUUGAAAAAAUUAGAGUGUUCAAAGCAGGCCUUUGCCUGAAUACAUUAGCAUGGAAUAAUGAAAUAGGACGUUCGAUCCUAUUUUGUUGGUUUCUAGGAUUGACGUA
RNAcentral lists this ribosomal RNA (216 nucleotides) under Campeiostachys nutans. RNAcentral's name for it is "Elymus nutans partial small subunit ribosomal RNA". The stretch from base 40 to 216 matches the Rfam family "Eukaryotic small subunit ribosomal RNA", at positions 686 to 864 of the family's 1831-position model. Lineage: Eukaryota; Viridiplantae; Streptophyta; Magnoliopsida; Poales; Poaceae. The record is from RNAcentral.